CUUCCCCUACACCCUCCAGACCUUGUAACUCCUGAAACAAACUCUUCUUUUGUAAAGUUACAUCACCAACUACCUGUUCAUUCCAAAUCUUCAAGUAUGAAUUCCACCAUUGCCUGACCAUCUCCACAAAUCCAUCCAUCUUUAACCACAUAUUCUCAAAC
Long non-coding RNA from Juglans regia (Persian walnut), 161 nucleotides. RefSeq lists it as uncharacterized. The transcript is spliced from 2 exons. Lineage: Eukaryota; Viridiplantae; Streptophyta; Magnoliopsida; Fagales; Juglandaceae. The record is from RefSeq and is a predicted model, not a curated record.